UACGAAGGGGGCUAGCGUUGUUCGGAAUCACUGGGCGUAAAGGGCGUGUAGGCGGGAAGGAAAGUCAGAUGUGAAAUCCCCAGGCUCAACCUGGGAACUGCAUUUGAAACUCCCUUUCUUGAGUACCGGAGAGGAAAGUGGAAUUCCUGGUGUAGAGGUGAAAUUCGUAGAUAUCAGGAGGAACACCAGUGGCGAAGGCGGCUUUCUGGACGGUAACUGACGCUGAGACGCGAAAGCGUGGGGAGCAAACAGG
Molecule: ribosomal RNA, 253 nt
Filed under: uncultured bacterium
Lineage: Bacteria
Description: partial 16S ribosomal RNA
Rfam family: Bacterial small subunit ribosomal RNA
Source: RNAcentral